This 255-nucleotide ribosomal RNA is filed under the name Salmonella enterica subsp. enterica serovar Choleraesuis. Its description in RNAcentral is "partial 16S ribosomal RNA". It matches the Rfam family "Bacterial small subunit ribosomal RNA", at positions 1050 to 1305 of the family's 1533-position model. Lineage: Bacteria; Pseudomonadati; Pseudomonadota; Gammaproteobacteria; Enterobacterales; Enterobacteriaceae. The record is from RNAcentral.
UGUCGUCAGCUCGUGUUGUGAAAUGUUGGGUUAAGUCCCGCAACGAGCGCAACCCUUAUCCUUUGUUGCCAGCGAUUAGGUCGGGAACUCAAAGGAGACUGCCAGUGAUAAACUGGAGGAAGGUGGGGAUGACGUCAAGUCAUCAUGGCCCUUACGACCAGGGCUACACACGUGCUACAAUGGCGCAUACAAAGAGAAGCGACCUCGCGAGAGCAAGCGGACCUCAUAAAGUGCGUCGUAGUCCGGAUUGGAGUC